Molecule: ribosomal RNA, 253 nt
Filed under: uncultured bacterium
Lineage: Bacteria
Description: partial 16S ribosomal RNA
Rfam family: Bacterial small subunit ribosomal RNA
Source: RNAcentral
UACGUAGGGAGCAAGCGUUGUUCGGAUUUACUGGGCGUAAAGGGCGCGUAGGCGGCAAUUCAAGUCAUCUGUGAAAUCUCCGGGCUUAACUCGGAACGGUCAGAUGAUACUGUCUUGCUAGAGUGCAGAAGGGGCAAUCGGAAUUCUUGGUGUAGCGGUGAAAUGCGUAGAUAUCAAGAGGAACACCUGAGGUGAAGACGGGUUGCUGGGCUGACACUGACGCUGAGGCCCGAAAGCCAGGGGAGCGAACAGG